GUCCUUUCGAGGACAUCCGAUAAAUUAGAACGAUGUAGAGAAGAUCAACACGAUUUCUGUGGAAGAAUAUAUGACACACACAAAUCAAGAAUGCACCUAUUUUUUU
Molecule: non-coding RNA, 106 nt
Organism: Capsicum annuum
Lineage: Eukaryota; Viridiplantae; Streptophyta; Magnoliopsida; Solanales; Solanaceae
Source: Rfam